UCCCAGACUCCUACGGGAGGCAGCAGUGGGGGAUAUUGCACAAUGGGGGGAACCCUGAUGCAGCGACGCCGCGUGGGUGAAGAAGCGCCUCGGCGCGUAAAGCCCUAUCGGCAGGGAAGAAGCAAGACGGUACCUGACUAAGAAGCCCCGGCUAACUACGUGCCAGCAGCCGCGGUAAUACGUAGGGGGCAAGCGUUAUCCGGAUUUACUGGGUGUAAAGGGAGCGUAGACGGCGAUGCAAGCCAGAUGUGAAAGCCCGGGGCUCAACCCCGGGACUGCAUUUGGAACUGUGUGGCUGGAGUGUCGGAGAGGCAGGCGGAAUUCCUAGUGUAGCGGUGAAAUGCGUAGAUAUCAGGAGGAACACCGGCGGCGAAGGCGGCCUGCUGGACCGUGACUGACGUUGAGGCUCGAGAGCGUGGGGAGCAAACAGGAUUAGAUACCCCUGUA
This 447-nucleotide ribosomal RNA is filed under the name uncultured bacterium. Its description in RNAcentral is "bacterial SSU rRNA". It matches the Rfam family "Bacterial small subunit ribosomal RNA", at positions 329 to 792 of the family's 1533-position model. The record is from RNAcentral.